AUGAUGGAUCUGGAGCCUAUCCCAGGAACACUGAGUGUGAGGCAGUAAUGCACACUUGAUGGGAUGCCAGUACAUCACAGGACACCAUGCACAGACACAGUUGCACAUUUAUUCACACUUUGGGGCAAUUUAGCACAGCCAGUCCACCUACAUCCAUGAUUUGGGAGGUGGGCGCUUCUUUCCAAGUCCCAAGUUGCUUAAACAUGCUUAAACUUUUUCUGUUUUGUUGAUGUGCAAGAGCCUGAAUGAAUUUUCCUCCAUACACUAACUUGUGUGUGUGUGUGUUUGCAGAAGUCUGAUGGUGUAUACACUUGUGUGUGUGGGUGUCUGAUACUGCAGGGUGGAAUGGUAGGGGCUGAAAGAUUCCAAGGUCAGGUCAGGAGGUCAAGGCUAUGUUUGAGAUCUGCUCCUGUAGUACCUGGGCUGCACUCUCCUCCUUCACUGUUCUGCAUCAUGGCGGUCUGUGAUUGAGAAAAAGGGCCAGAGAGAGAGGAGCCUAAGUCGACCACUCUCCCAUCCCCAGUAUCCUUGUCUGAAUGGUUCAGUGUCCUGGUCCUCACCCCAGCUCAGGACCUGAUAACUCUCUUAUUGAUGCUUAUCCAAGUCUACAGUGAUCACAUCAACAAGCUGUUCCUCCAUACAUUCCUCCGUACACGUGAAUAAAGUCCCAUCUAACUGUAUUCGGAGAACACAGUAAAACAGUACAAAGGUAAAAUAUCUACAUUAAUUAAUUCAUUGAAGGCAGAUGUCAAAAUUCUGUGUAAAAUGUGUUAUUCUUUUGGUCUCAUAAAUUUGUAACAUUUUUCAGGAACAGUUAAAGGUUAGGGACGGGGUUAACAUUUGUACAUUUUUAGAUGAUUGCUUUGGAAUGAAAUUGAGUGAAAUCCAACCACAUUACCAUUACCAUUUACAUUUAUUCAUUCGGCAGAUGCUGUUAUCUAGAUUGACUUACAAAACAUCCAGUUAAGGCACAGUGCUAUAAGGACCUAGAGAAUCUGUAACGCUGCUUUCACAUUUAAAAUAUUAAUUCCUAGUCCUUAGGAUAUUCUUGAUUUUUAGAAUAUAGUUGUAGAUCUCUCCAAUUGUACUAUGUAAUCAUACAUUUUCAGAUAGUGUAUGUCAUUCAUAUUUAUGAGGCUGACCUAGGUGGGGAAAGGGUAGUGUGCAUGUGCCAGAUAGAGAGGGAGGGGAAAGGAAGGUCUCUGGAGGGAGAUAUGUGCAUACACAGAGCUGCUGCGGCAGCGUCAAGCCAGCAGACGCCGGUCGGAAGUUAGGACGGAGCUAACGGAAGAACAUCAGUUAUGGCGAGCAGCAGUUCCAGGCUGGCAGUGAGCGUCAUCACGUUUUGAAUUAUUCUUUCUGAAGUUCUUUGUAAAGCCACUAUUUGUUAAAAUAUAUAUAACUGAAAUAAUAUAUUUUUUAUGCUAACAGUCAGCUAACAGUAAACAGCUAACAGUUUUCCCUCAAAUUAUUUGCCUCAUAAGUAACGUUUUUUUUUUUUUUUUUUUUUACAAGAGGUUCCACUCACCUUUGUUGAAUUAUGUGCUAUAUGUUUAAUACGAUAUAAAACGUAUAUAUUAUAUAUAUUAUAUAUAUUUUCAGUUAAAGACAAAGAUUGAGUUUCUAUUUUUAAUUAUAUUAAAAAAAUAUAUUUAUUUUUUCAACUUAAUACUCAAGUGAAAACAGAUAUAUUUUAGCAAACAAUUUCAGAACAAAAGCAAAGCAAUUUCAAAGUUAACACAUAAAUGAAGCUCCAGUCACAGAAAUAACUUUUAACAAUGAAAAUAAAUAAAAACAAAACUUCUCAUCUUAAAUGUAAGUAAAAUAUUCUGAAACAUAAAAUGAAUUUAAAAUAACAAAAAAAAAAAAAAGUAAACUCUUGAAAGAGGCAGUUAACCCUGAGGUCCUGUUUCUCAUCAAGCAAUCUGCGCUCAUUGAGAAACAUUUCCAUAUCUUCCCUGAACGUAAAGUGAAACAUAAAUGGUUCUUUGGCUAGUUGACUCAUUUCAGGGUUGUGAGCCUCUGAAAGUUUACUGAGGGCUCUCUUCUUGUCUUCAUUUUUAUCUUCAGAAGAUCUAGCUCCUUCACCCAUCCUCUGAGAUGAUGCUUGUUUUUGAUACCUAUUUUUGUGUUUGAGUCAGGAGCAGGAACCAUAAUAACAUUUAGGAAUGAUUUGUUUAGUCAUAUCCCCCCUUUUGAGUGAUCAUUUAAUAGCAUAUAGUAUUGUAAGGG
Molecule: long non-coding RNA, 2232 nt
Organism: Ictalurus furcatus (blue catfish)
Lineage: Eukaryota; Metazoa; Chordata; Actinopteri; Siluriformes; Ictaluridae
Exons: 4
Source: RefSeq, a predicted model, not a curated record